Varanus komodoensis (Komodo dragon) is the source of this 467-nucleotide long non-coding RNA. RefSeq lists it as uncharacterized. The transcript is spliced from 5 exons. The record is from RefSeq and is a predicted model, not a curated record. NCBI's taxonomy places the organism in Eukaryota, Metazoa, Chordata, Lepidosauria, Squamata, Varanidae.
AUAUUUCUGAGGAAACAGAAAGUGGGGGGGCAGUUUUGUGCCAGCAACCAUACAAGAAGGAAGCUACCAUAUGUGGAAAUGUCCGGAGCAGUUAAAGUGAGCGCUGUUGUUGCUGCAACCGCUACAGGUGCUGUGAAAGUUGUAAGCAUAUCUGUACCAGCAGCAGCAAUUCCGUGGGUGUGCGCCACUGUCAUUGUGCUUGGGGCCUCCUGUAUCAUUUUCCAAGGACUCAAGCGUCUAAACCAGUGAAAAUGUCUGCUAUGGUCCACUUCAACACACUGGAAAUGAACCCUUUGGAAUUCAGUCAAGCUCCUAUCGAACAGAAUUCCCAGGGCUCCACAUUCCCACCGAUCUGCAUAUCAGCAUGUUCCUGAGUGACCCAGAAUGCAAGGAACAGCUAUAUAGAAGAAUUGUGCAUGAUAUAAGAAGGAUUAAAUCAUAUCAAUGAAAUAAUGCAAAUACACACA